GUGGAAUUCUAGCGCCUUUCUUUUUUUCUUCUGCUUCCUUACCAGGAAGUUAGAAGUUUUACUCUGCCACAUCCUCUCCUUCCGUGGUGCUUUGUUAUAAGACCCAAAGGGAGUAGGACAAGCAACAAUGCACUGAAACUUCUAAAACUGUGUGUUAAAAUAAUUUUUUUCUCUUUAGAAGUUAGUUGUCACAUAUAUUCAUUAUAGCGAUGAAAACCUAAUAUACAUAGUAUUAAGAAGCCUUCAUUUCUUCGCAUGCAGGGGAUUACAACCUGAAACAAAUUACUUGUAAAAUGUGUUUAAAGACCAAUCAAACUCUUUGAGGUAUGAAACGACAGAAGGUUGUGUUCCGUAAAUCGAUAUGAAGAUUCCUCAAGGAGAAACUGAAAGUCCGCCUGACAUUUGCAAAGGAUCAGAGAUCCAUUCAGUGAAAGUUCUAGAAGAAGCACCAGAAUCUCCCGGUUCAUGGUCCACGUUAAGCAGAUGA
RNAcentral lists this long non-coding RNA (487 nucleotides) under Chinchilla lanigera (long-tailed chinchilla). RNAcentral's name for it is "lncRNA (ENSCLAG00000023868.1)". The record is from RNAcentral. Lineage: Eukaryota; Metazoa; Chordata; Mammalia; Rodentia; Chinchillidae.